Molecule: non-coding RNA, 47 nt
Organism: Calypte anna (Anna's hummingbird)
Lineage: Eukaryota; Metazoa; Chordata; Aves; Apodiformes; Trochilidae
Source: Rfam
CCAAAGGCUCUUUUAAGAGCCACUACAAAUCCAAUUAAAAGAGCUGU